This 711-nucleotide ribosomal RNA is filed under the name uncultured bacterium. RNAcentral describes it as "bacterial SSU rRNA". It matches the Rfam family "Bacterial small subunit ribosomal RNA", at positions 56 to 763 of the family's 1533-position model. The record is from RNAcentral.
UGCAAGUCGAGCGGCAGCGCGGGGCAACCUGGCGGCGAGCGGCGAACGGGUGAGUAAUGCAUCGGAACAUGUCCAUGUCGUGGGGGAUAGCCCGGCGAAAGCCGGAUUAAUACCGCAUACGCCCGAGAGGGGAAAGUGGGGGACCGCAAGGCCUCACGCGAUUGGGUUGGCCGAUGUCCGAUUAGCUAGUUGGCGGGGUAAGAGCCCACCAAGGCGAUGAUCGGUAGCUGGUCUGAGAGGAUGAUCAGCCACACUGGAACUGAGACACGGUCCAGACUCCUACGGGAGGCAGCAGUGGGGAAUUUUGGACAAUGGGGGAAACCCUGAUCCAGCCAUUCCGCGUGAGUGAAGAAGGCCUUCGGGUUGUAAAGCUCUUUUGUCCGGAGCGAAACGGUGCUGGUGAAUAGCCAGCGCUACUGACGGUACCGGAAGAAUAAGCACCGGCUAACUACGUGCCAGCAGCCGCGGUAAUACGUAGGGUGCGAGCGUUAAUCGGAAUUACUGGGCGUAAAGCGUGCGCAGGCGGUUUUGUAAGCCAGAAGUGAAAUCCCCGGGCUUAACCUGGGAAUGGCAUUUGGGACUGCAAGGCUGGAGUGCGGCAGAGGAGACUGGAAUUCCUGGUGUAGCAGUGAAAUGCGUAGAUAUCAGGAGGAAUACCGAUGGCGAAGGCAGGUCUCUGGGCUGACACUGACGCUCAUGCACGAAAGCGUG